GUGCUUGCUUCAGCAGCAUGUAUACUAACAUUGGAAUGCUACAGAGAAAAUUAGUGUGGUCCCUGUGCAAGGAUGACAUGCAACUUCAUGAUGUGUUGAAUAUUUUU
Molecule: small nuclear RNA, 107 nt
Organism: Pongo abelii (Sumatran orangutan)
Lineage: Eukaryota; Metazoa; Chordata; Mammalia; Primates; Hominidae
Source: Ensembl